GAUGAACGCUGGCGGCGUGCUUAACACAUGCAAGUCGAACGGAAAGGCUCCUGCUUGCAGGGGUACUCGAGUGGCGAACGGGUGAGUAACACGUGGGUGAUCUGCCCUGCACUUCGGGAUAAGCCUGGGAAACUGGGUCUAAUACCGGAUAGGACCACAUUUUGGAUGGUGUGGUGGAAAGUUUUUCGGUGUGGGAUGAGCUCGCGGCCUAUCAGCUUGUUGGUGGGGUAAUGGCCUACCAAGGCGUCGACGGGUAGCCGGCCUGAGAGGGUGUACGGCCACAUUGGGACUGAGAUACGGCCCAGACUCCUACGGGAGGCAGCAGGGGGGAAUAUGGCACAAUGGGCGCAAGCCUGAUGCAGAGACGCCGCGUGGGGGAUGACGGCCUUCGGGUUGUAAACUCCUUUCGCUAGGGACGAAGCGCAAGUGACGGUACCUGGAGAAGAAGCACCGGCUAACUACGUG
RNAcentral lists this ribosomal RNA (465 nucleotides) under uncultured bacterium. RNAcentral describes it as "partial 16S ribosomal RNA". It matches the Rfam family "Bacterial small subunit ribosomal RNA", at positions 28 to 507 of the family's 1533-position model. The record is from RNAcentral.